AUGGCAGAUCUCGUCAUGCUAGAGACGCCUCCGACGGCAUGGUUUCUGUUCCUCUUCCCGCUCUUCCUCUUGUUUGUGCUUUAUUAUUGGUUCACUUGGAAGACAGGAAAAAGGCAACAGCGAGAAGGCAGACUCCCGCCAUCACCACGGGCGCUGCCCAUCAUCGGCCACCUGCACCUCCUCGGAUCGCUCCCACACGUCUCGCUCCGCAGCCUUGCCAGGAAGCAUGGCCCCGACGUGAUGCUCCUUCGUCUCGGCGAUGUGCCGACGCUCGUCGUGUCGUCACCGUGUGCCGCAGAGGCAGUGCUGCGCACGCAUGACCACGUCUUGGCGUCACGGCCGCACUCCGUGGUCACCGACAUCCUCAUGUAUGGCUCGUCCGACGUAGCCUUUGCGCCAUAUGGCCAAGGCUGGCGGCAGGCAAGGAAGCUCCUCACCAACCACAUGCUGAGCGUUAGGAAGGUCCAGUCUUUCCGCAGCACCGUCAUGUUGGGGGUGAGCAUGGUGAUGGCGAAGAUUAACGAGGCUGCCAGAGUCGGUGGUGUGGUGGAUAUGAGUGAGCUGCUCAAGACAUUCACAUAUGACAUGGCAUACCGCAUCGUGUCCGGUGAAUUCUUCCUAAAAGAAGGACGGAGCAAGUUGUUCCAAGACCUCACCAAUGAUACCUCACUGCUGCUAGGAGGGUUCAAGGUGGAGGAAUACUUCCCAACAUUGUCUAGGGUAGGACUGCUUAAAAGGACAGUUCGUGCAAAGGCUGAGAGACUAAGGUAUAGAUGGGCCGAUCUGCUGGACAAGGUGAUCGAUUAUCAUGAGAACAAGGACAAGUCAGUGUUAGAUAACCAGGGCGCUAAUUUCGUCGAUAUUCUCUUGUCUGUUCAGCUGGAGUAUAGUCUCACAAGAGAACAGACUAAAGCUCUCCUAACCAUAAGUAAAUAUAAUACCUUCCAAAUGAUUACAAAUAAAUAA
RNAcentral lists this ribosomal RNA (966 nucleotides) under Triticum aestivum (bread wheat). RNAcentral's name for it is "partial small subunit ribosomal RNA". Lineage: Eukaryota; Viridiplantae; Streptophyta; Magnoliopsida; Poales; Poaceae. The record is from RNAcentral.